RNAcentral lists this ribosomal RNA (508 nucleotides) under uncultured bacterium. RNAcentral describes it as "partial 16S ribosomal RNA". It matches the Rfam family "Bacterial small subunit ribosomal RNA", at positions 28 to 507 of the family's 1533-position model. The record is from RNAcentral.
GACGAACGCUGGCGGCGUGCCUAAUACAUGCAAGUCGAACGCUUCUUUCCUCCCGAGUGCUUGCACUCCAUUGGAAAGAGGAGUGGCGGACGGGUGAGUAACACGUGGGUAACCUACCCAUCAGAGGGGGAUAACACUUGGAAACAGGUGCUAAUACCGCAUAACAGUUUAUGCCGCAUGGCAUAAGAGUGAAAGGCGCUUUCGGGUGUCGCUGAUGGAUGGACCCGCGGUGCAUUAGCUAGUUGGUGAGGUAACGGCUCACCAAGGCCACGAUGCAUAGCCGACCUGAGAGGGUGAUCGGCCACACUGGGACUGAGACACGGCCCAGACUCCUACGGGAGGCAGCAGUAGGGAAUCUUCGGCAAAGGACGAAAGUCUGACCGUGCAACGCCGCGUGAGUGAAGAAGGUUUUCGGAUCGUAAAACUCUGUUGUUAGAGAAGAACAAGGACGUUAGUAACUGAACGUCCCCUGACGGUAUCUAACCAGAAAGCCACGGCUAACUACGUG